RNAcentral lists this ribosomal RNA (585 nucleotides) under Triticum aestivum (bread wheat). Its description in RNAcentral is "partial small subunit ribosomal RNA". The record is from RNAcentral. Lineage: Eukaryota; Viridiplantae; Streptophyta; Magnoliopsida; Poales; Poaceae.
CCGAAUUAUACCCGGUUUAAACUGGGGGCUAAUGACGGAGAAUUUCGGUUCCCACCCACCUCCCACUUAAUAGCCACUGUCGAAGAUCUAACCGACAUGCUCGACUACGACUCCGGAGACAUCGACGGUAUGGAUGAUGAUGCCGAAGAGGAGCAAGCCCAAAAACCUCCAUUUACCGGGCGCUGGACGACCACCUCCUCCUACGACGUGUACAUGGUGGACACACCCAAAGAAAUCAACGGCAACGACAAAGAAGACCCAGUGGAAGACAAACCUCUUGAGAUACAGCCAAAGCACCGACGACAGCGACGCCACUCUAAAUCACGCCGUGAAAAAGACAGUAACACCGGCACAGGAGAAAACAAUACUCUAGACAAUGCCGGAGACAAUGAAGACCCCGUUCAGCCAACUUCCGAACAGAACGAACGGGAAGAUGGGCGAGUCAGCCCUGAUGAACAGGCCGUGCACGAAGACUCAGAGGACAGUAAUUAUCUUCCACUCUCCGAGGAUGAGGUGAGCCUCGGCGACGAAGACUUUAUCGUACCUGAGGAACCUCUCGAGCAGGAGCGCUUUAAGCAACAACUA